UGCAGUCGAGCGGAAAGGCCACUUCGGUGGUACUCGAGCGGCGAACGGGUGAGUAACACGUGAGUAAUCUGCCCUCCACUUUGGGAUAGCCACCGGAAACGGUGAUUAAUACCGGAUAUGACCAGUGCCUGCAUGGGUGUUGGUGGAAAGUUUUUCGGUGGGGGAUGUGCUCCCGGCCUAUCACCUUGAUGGUGGGGUAAUGGUCUACCAUGGUUUCAACGGGUAGCCGGCCUGAAAGGGUGACCGGCCACACUGGGACUGAGACACGGCCCAAACUCCUACGGGAGGCACCAUUGGGAAAUAUUGGACAAUGGGCGGAAGCCUGAUCCAGCAACGCCGCGUGAGGGAUGACUGCCUUCGGUUUGUAAACCUCUUUCAGCACAAACAAACCGAAAGUGACGGUAUGUGCAGAAGAAGCACCGGCCAACUACGUGCCAGCAGCCGCGGUAAUACGUAGGGUGCGAGCGUUGUCCGGAAUUAUUGGGCGUAAARGGCUCGUAGGCGGUUUGUCGCGUCGGGAGUGAAAACACACAGCUUAACUGUGUGCUUGCUUCCGAUACGGGCAGACUAGAGGUAUGCAGGGGAGAACGGAAUUCCUGGUGUAGCGGUGAAAUGCGCARAUAUCAGGAGGAACACCGGUGGMGAAGGCGGUUCUCUGGRCAUUACCUGACGCURARGARCGAAAGUGUGGGGAGCGAACAGGAUUAGAUACCCUGGUAGUCCACACCGUAAACCGUUGGGCGCUAGGUGUGGGGCCUAUUCCAUGGGUUCCGUGCCGCAGCUAACGCAUUAAGCGCCCCGCCUGGGGAGUACGGCCGCAAGGCUAAAACUCAAAGGAAUUGACGGGGGCCCGCACAAGCGGCGGAGCAUGCGGAUUAAUUCGAUGCAACGCGAAGAACCUUACCUGGGUUUGACAUAUGCCGGAAAGCCUCAGAGAUGAGGCCCCUUUUGUCGGUAUACAGGUGGUGCAUGGCUGUCGUCAGCUCGUGUCGUGAGAUGUUGGGUUAAGUCCCGCAACGAGCGCAACCCUCGUUCUAUGUUGCCAGCACGUAAUGGUGGGGACUCAUAGGAGACUGCCGGGGUCAACUCGGAGGAAGGUGGGGAUGACGUCAAGUCAUCAUGCCCCUUAUGUCCAGGGCUUCACGCAUGCUACAAUGGCCGGUACAAAGGGCUGCGAUCCCGUAAGGGGGAGCGAAUCCCAAAAAGCCGGUCUCAGUUCGGAUUGGGGUCUGCAACUCGACCCCAUGAAGUCGGAGUCGCUAGUAAUCGCAGAUCAG
This 1277-nucleotide ribosomal RNA is filed under the name actinobacterium MH3-3. Its description in RNAcentral is "bacterial SSU rRNA". It matches the Rfam family "Bacterial small subunit ribosomal RNA", at positions 56 to 1352 of the family's 1533-position model. Lineage: Bacteria; Bacillati; Actinomycetota; Actinomycetes. The record is from RNAcentral.